This is a long non-coding RNA of Pseudopipra pipra, 4446 nucleotides long. RefSeq lists it as uncharacterized. The record is from RefSeq and is a predicted model, not a curated record. The transcript is spliced from 5 exons. NCBI's taxonomy places the organism in Eukaryota, Metazoa, Chordata, Aves, Passeriformes, Pipridae.
CCGUCCCUCCCCUGCCCGGGGUCCCCCCUAUCCCCCUUGUCCCCCCGUCACCUCCACUGCCCCCGCCGCGCCCGGUCCCGGCUACAGCGGCCCCGCCCACAGAAGCACCGCCCCCGCGCCCUCCCAUUGGCUGAGCAGCCCCCUUGCUCCCUUCCCAUUGGCUCUCCCAGCGGACGCUCCUCCCCUCCCCUUCCUGCAGCGUCUUCCGGGUGGUGCCGCACCCCGGGCGCGGGAGAGGCUCGUGGAGGGCGAUGACUGGUGAGAGUGCACGUCAAUCAUGUGCAGAGCAGCCAAUAAAAAGGAAGGCUGGGGAGAGGGCGGGCACUUUCGCCAUAUAAGGGCAAGGCGUCCGCGUUGCUACGCGACGGGCGCGUGGGGAGAGCUGAUUAUUCCCAUGUUUGUUUCCAUGGAAAAACGCCUUUUUUUCUGCUGGAUACAGAGUUGUUGUCACCCAUUCCAGGCCCUUCUGGAAAAAUACUCCUUAAUUCUGGCCUUAAGAGUGUCAGUAGCACCGUAACUUGGUGCUCCGCACCCACGGGAGACCAUGAAUAGGGAGAGACUGGAGACCAGGAAUGGGGAGAGAUUGGACAAAAGCUGAAGGAAAACAGAAUAUUUUAAGGAAUUGCAGCUAACUCCCCCAGAUUUUGGCAUCUAGCAAAGUCAUAAGGCAGUUUUCUACCAGAUGCUCACACAGCAAAUCAUCACCAAUAGGGAAAAAUAACCUGGUUUUUCAGAAAUAAAUUGGGGCAAUUUGAACUGUAUUUCAGAGGAGGCUGAGGGGAGACUCAUCAGGGUCUGCAGCUUCUCAGGGACAGGGUGGGACUGUUGUGGUGUCCUGGGCGGGGCCAGGAGUUGGACUGGAUGAUCCCUGUGGGUCCCUUUCAACUCAGGAUAUUCCAUGAAGCUAAAACUUUCAGAGGAUGUUGUUUCCAUGGUCUCUUUGCCUGGUGCACUUCCAACGAUGAGGACAAGCUACCUUUGAGUCCAAAUAGUCAAGGAACACUCUGCCUGUGCUCAGUUUCAGUGGGAAAGGCAGGAUCCCUCUCUGGGAGCUGGGGCUCUCUCGGAUGUUCACUGAUUUUACUGGGACUGACAAAAGCAGCUGGAUGGACUCGGCUCAACCAACAUCCCAAACACAGCCUGACAGCACCUCAGCUCUGAGAUCUCCACAGCAAAUGGAGCCCAGGGCCAUCCCUGCAGCACUGAGUUCCUGCCAAUUCCAGCCAUUCUGAGCCUGCCAGAGCCUGGAAGUGCUGGGAGGGAACUUUGGGGAUAAUCAGCAUUUCAAGGAUGAGCAAAUCUCUCUUUGCUCCCAGAGGAAACAUCGUGUGUUUUCCUCAGGCACCUAAACACAAUUAGGGAAUAAUUACAGAGCUGUUGAUGUGUUUUCCUGUCAAAAAGGGGGAGAAACACACUUAGAAUCUGUUCCCCAAUUAAAUCUGAUCCAACAGAAGGGAACAACAGGGAUAGCCAGGAGUGCCUGGUGUCUCAUCCCGGCUUUGAUGCCUCUUUGGUACCCUUGGAAUGGUCCAGGCUGAGGUAGAAGCCAAUCCCUUGGGAAUGCCAAUGGCACUGUGAAUCCUUGGCAUUUCCACAGCUUUUCUUAGCAUGGAUCCAGGCCAGCUCAAGGGAUUCCAUAGCCAGCACAUCCUACACCAGAGUUAUUUUUGAUUUUAUCAGGGACAGGGAAGGGAGAUCCCAAUGGCAGGAAGGAGAAGGGUUGUGAAACGCUGGAUCUGCAGCCUGAAUUGUCCCACUGGGUCACAUUGAUGCACCAAAGGGAUUCCAUCUGGAGCCUGAACCUCCAAGGGGAAUUUGCAUUGGAAUCAGCAUUCCAGAGGGAUGCUGGAAGUGUUACCAUGGGAGAAAGUGUGUGCCAGAGGAGCAGUGGGAUCAGGACAGCCUGGCAGAGAAGGGUGGAGACCUCUCUUGCAGCAGCCACCCUUUUGGGAGACCCCUUCAUGUGAGACAUCAUUUAAUGGUCACAACUCCUCACACUUCCCAUCUCCAGGGCUGGAAUGUAGGACGAGGAGGCUAAAACAGGCUGAGGCUCUCGGAUCUCACCCCUGCAGCCUUCCAGGCCAAGUUCCAGGUCUUCCCUCCCUCCUUGGACUUCCUUCUGUGCCUGGUGCUCAUCUCCAGGGGCUGCUGUUUGUGGGUAAGAUCAGCUCUUGCCAGGUGUUUCCCUGAGACUCCUCUGCCAUCAGAGUUUGGUGUUCCAUCAGCCUUGGGCAGCUUGACUUCCCAGAGCAUGAGCCUGCUCCCAACCAGCUUCUGCAGAGCCCAAACUUCCCUGUGUUCAAUUUCUUGUUACUGCAUUUAGUCUCUGGUGACUCCCGAGCUGACAGCUGGUAAAGAUGGCAUGAAACUGAGUUAAUUUUAUUGUCUAAUUUGUGCAAAGCUGAAAUCAGGGUUCUGAAAGCCUUGCUUUGCAUUAUAGUGCUGACACAUCUGCUGCGUGCAUUGGCCUUUGAUUCCUGAAAGUUUGUUUUCCCUCUAUUUCACCGGGAUGAGCAGAUCUUUGUGAUCUUUUGUAAAUGCUUUAACACCAGAACUCAGAAUUCCAGGCUGUUAGGGAGCUCCCCCAGCCCUCCCUGAAUCUCAGAAUCAUCGAAUGAUUUGGGUUGGAAGGGACCUUAAAGAUCACCCCCUUCCAAUCCCAUGGGCAGGGACACCUUCCACUAUCCCAAGUUGCUCCAAACCCCAACCUGGCCUUGAACACUUCCAGGGAUGGGGCAGCCACAGCUUCUCUGGGCAACCUGUGCCAGGGCCUCACCACCCUCACAGGGAAGAAUUCCUUCCCAGUAUCCCAUCUAACUGUGGCCUCCAACUGCGCCACACUCCUGCCCCUUUCCCUCUCCCGUUCUGAUUUUCCUGACAAAGCCCUGAGUUUGAGCAACCCUUGGCUUGUGGAGACAUUGGAGAAGUUGUGGUAUUUCUUGUUUUGAAGCUUAAAAUAGCCUGGAAUUGGCUCUUUAUGUUUCCCAGAGUCUGCUUUGCUCUCCAAACCAAAGUGAAGCCGCCACGACUCGAGCGGGAAUUAAAGGUCCUGGCUUGAAGUCCGUGUGUGUUUUACAGGCCCAGGACAGCUCAAGCAGGAGCCGUUCCCCUGAUAAGAAUUAUUCUGGAUCACGAUAAAAGCCACAUCAGCUUAAGGCUUCUCCAAGCCUCAUUUUAUAGUGGCUAUUAAAGACUGGAGUGAAUUGCUCGGGAUGAUCCCCCAGGCACCACUGGAAAUAGGGAAAGUGGAGGAACAAAGAAAAUGAAACAUGUUUUGGGGCCCUGAAAACCAUCUUUAGAAAGAGCUUGGUGUGAUUAUUAUUAUUUUCAGACCAAUGUUCUCUGCCUAAGUAAUGCCAGCGAAGUGUCUCGAGCAGCUCCCUAAUUUGUGAGGGUCCCAAAGGCACAGCCUUGGGAAAGAAUUGGAUUUACACUUAUGAAAAACAAAUUACAGGCUGAGGGCUCAUUAGAUGAUUUGGAAUUAAUUUAUUGAUCUGAGGCUGGAGUGGGAGGAUAUAGGGGUGGAGAAAUAGCUGAGUGCACUUUAUCCGAAAACACACGGGAUUCUGUCACUGAAGGAGAUCAGGGAGCAGUUUUUUGGUGACUCCUUGGAUUUGAGGAGCUCAUGGAGGGACAGAGGUGCUGAGUUUGGAGCUUCCACGGAUCCUUUGGGAUGAAGGAGAGAAUUCCCUGGCUUUGGCAGCCUGUGAUGGCCUGGGAGCAGAGCAGGGUGCUGUGGGAUGCUGUGCCCUGCUCCAUCAGCACAGCAAUAAAUCUCCCACCUGAAGAUGCUAUCAUUCCCUGGAAAUGGGUGUAGGGAAGAUGAAGCCAGACUGUCCUUGGAGACACAGAGUGACAGGCAAAAGGAAGAUGGCAGGAGGAAAUGUUCCAAUGGGAAUAAGGAAAAACCCCUUUGCAGUGGAGGAGUCACCCCAGGUCAGGGGUGAGAGCAGGGGUGGGAUCUCCAUCCUUGGGAUGCUCAGACUCACUUGGAGAAGGUCCUGAGCUGUCUGCUCGGACCUGAGGAUCAACAAGGCCCCUUCCAACCUCAAUUAAUCCAUGAUAAUCCAAAUAGCUCCAAAUACAAGUGUGCUUUUACCCAGCCUGAGCUCCAGCUUGUGGCCAACACUCCGAAGCCAGUGCUGGAGCACUGGAGCACAAACCAUCCAUGUCCUCUUGCAAAAGGCACCCAAAUCCAGGCAGCUUCAACAGCAACCUUAUUUUUUUGGCCAAAUAUGUGGAAAAUAAAUCAGGCAUUUGCCAUUCAAUGUGAUAUUUUUAUUGCUGUUUUCAGCCAUCUCUGCCCUCUCUGCUUGCUCCCUGUGUGUCCCAGACCUGUCACAGUGGAAAAGUUCCAGUGGAAGCUGGAAACUUGGCAAACUUGUGCAGUAUAAAGCAAACCUGGUGUUUCUUUUUAGAGGCUGAAAAUAAAUACAUUAAAACCAA